RNAcentral lists this small nuclear RNA (19 nucleotides) under Arabidopsis thaliana (thale cress). RNAcentral's name for it is "snRNA_01601". The record is from RNAcentral. Lineage: Eukaryota; Viridiplantae; Streptophyta; Magnoliopsida; Brassicales; Brassicaceae.
ACCGCGAGGUAAAGAUGAA